GCCUACGGGAGGCAGCAGUGGGGAAUAUUGGACAAUGGGCGAAAGCCUGAUCCAGCAAUGCCGCGUGAGUGAUGAAGGCCUUAGGGUUGUAAAGCUCUUUUACCAGGGAUGAUAAUGACAGUACCUGGAGAAUAAGCUCCGGCUAACUCCGUGCCAGCAGCCGCGGUAAU
RNAcentral lists this ribosomal RNA (170 nucleotides) under uncultured Alphaproteobacteria bacterium. RNAcentral describes it as "partial 16S ribosomal RNA". It matches the Rfam family "Bacterial small subunit ribosomal RNA", at positions 337 to 524 of the family's 1533-position model. Lineage: Bacteria; Pseudomonadati; Pseudomonadota; Alphaproteobacteria. The record is from RNAcentral.